AUCUCUGAUGGCCCUGCAGUUUGUUUUAGGGGGAUCAGAUCAGAUCAAGUCACUGACACAUCAAUGAAAAAAAUAAUAAAACACUUCACUGUUGUUCAUCUCCUUUUCAUUUAGGAAGACAAAAAAGGGAAGCAAGUUUGAUUCAAUCUUUCUUUAAAGCUUUCCUGUCAUCUCAGGAGUGAGCUUCAGAUGUCAUGGGGGGAGAAACUGAUCAACCCAAAUAAACAUUUAUCUUCCCAGCAUGUCAUACCAUUUCAUUUCACGCUCUACUAA
This 273-nucleotide long non-coding RNA is filed under the name Homo sapiens (human). Its description in RNAcentral is "non-protein coding lnc-MAFB-5:1". Lineage: Eukaryota; Metazoa; Chordata; Mammalia; Primates; Hominidae. The record is from RNAcentral.